Molecule: transfer RNA, 77 nt
Filed under: Phytophthora megakarya
Lineage: Eukaryota; Oomycota; Peronosporomycetes; Peronosporales; Peronosporaceae
Rfam family: tRNA
About the family: Transfer RNA (tRNA) molecules are approximately 80 nucleotides in length. Their secondary structure includes four short double-helical elements and three loops (D, anti-codon, and T loops). Further hydrogen bonds mediate the characteristic L-shaped molecular structure. tRNAs have two regions of fundamental functional importance: the anti-codon, which is responsible for specific mRNA codon recognition, and the 3' end, to which the tRNAs corresponding amino acid is attached (by aminoacyl-tRNA synthetases). tRNAs cope with the degeneracy of the genetic code in two manners: having more than one tRNA (with a specific anti-codon) for a particular amino acid; and 'wobble' base-pairing, i.e. permitting non-standard base-pairing at the 3rd anti-codon position.
Source: Rfam by way of RNAcentral
GCCCGUCUAGCUCAGUCGGUAGAGCGCAAGACUCUUAAUCUUGCUUGUGGUCGUGGGUUCGAGCCCCACGGUGGGCG